GUCAAGUGUUGUAGUACCCUGGAUCUUUAUAAAAGGUCUCCUCUUGAAUGCCAAGGCAAUCAUUCUAGCCUCCCGCACAGAUCGACUUGGAAGCAGCCAUCUCUGCGCCUGCUGAUUUCGUUGUCGUCUCUGCCAAAAAAAAGAGAAAGUCAGGAUGAAGACUUCUGUGUUCCUGGUCCUGCUGGUGGUCAUCGGCUGUGCCUUUGCAUGGGGCGAUUCGAACAAGGAGGAGGAGAGAGAAUUGAUCAGAGAACUUCUCGGGGCACUUGGGGCUCGUCGUGAUGACAACCUGCAAGUAAAGAGAGGUCAGGAAUGCAGAGCUACUUUAGAAUGUCCAUCCGGCCAAGUCUGUGUCAGGCAAAAUCGCCACGAUCCAGGAAAUUGCCAGUAGGGACAUUAUUAACUCCCGGAAUCUGGAACUUUUGGGAGUUUCGGAGCACGACGGUGACAAGGCAGAUGGCUAAGAUUUAGAUGUUGACCACUUUAUUUGAAUUACUUAGGGAGCCAGGUAUACUAACGUCCUCGCACUAAAUUGAAACUAGUUUAUAUUUUAAUCUUGCAAUUUGUUCAGCGAUCAAGUGUUUCUGAUAAAAAAAAAAUCAGCAAACCACUCUCACAUUUAAAGGCAUUAUUCAAACAUGCGUCCUCUUCUAAAUUUGGAUGACUUGGUAAAAAAAAAAUGGUCCUCCCGUUCUCCUCCCGCCAAAUUCAAAGUCGGAUUAAAUAAAAUAAAAGCUCGUGCAACUAUCUUUUCAUCAUAUGAUAUCUUUUGUAUAUUUAGUUUAUUACCGUAUAACCCCGCCCCCCAACAUCACAAUGUACUGUGUUAUUCACGUGAAGCAAUCGAUACAUGUAUACCUGAAAAUGACGGCACGGAGGGUGGAGUUAACAUUGGCCUUGAUCCGAUGAAAAACCACACUG
Molecule: long non-coding RNA, 921 nt
Organism: Patiria miniata (bat star)
Lineage: Eukaryota; Metazoa; Echinodermata; Asteroidea; Valvatida; Asterinidae
Exons: 5
Source: RefSeq, a predicted model, not a curated record